AUUGAACGCUGGCGGCAUGCCUAACACAUGCAAGUCGAACGGUAACAGGCCCUUCGGGGUGCUGACGAGUGGCGGAUGGGUGAGUAAUACUUAGGAAUCUACCCUGUAGUGGGGGACGAACCCGGGGAAACUCGGGCUAAUACCGCAUACGCUCUACGGAGGAAAGCGGGGGACCGGCAAGGCCUCGCGCUAUUGGAUGAGCCUAAGCCCGAUUAGCUAGUUGGUGGGGUAAUAGCCUACCAAGGCAAUGAUCGGUAGCUGGUCUGAGAGGACGACCAGCCACACUGGGACUGAGACACGGCCCAGACUCCUACGGGAGGCAGCAGUGGGGAAUAUUGGACAAUGGGCGAAAGCCUGAUCCAGCGAUGCCGCGUGUGUGAAGAAGGCCUGCGGGGUUGUAAAGCACUUUCAGUAAGGGAAGAAAUGCUUGGAGCUAACACCGCCAAGUUUUGACGUUACCUACAGAAGAAGCACCGGCUAACUCCGUGCCAGCAGCCGCGGUAAC
This 505-nucleotide ribosomal RNA is filed under the name uncultured bacterium. Its description in RNAcentral is "bacterial SSU rRNA". It matches the Rfam family "Bacterial small subunit ribosomal RNA", at positions 30 to 524 of the family's 1533-position model. The record is from RNAcentral.